AUGCAAUAUCAGCAUGCUGAUGUAAUUAGGAAUUCAUACAACAUUUGUCCACAGGAAAGCAGCUUUAAAAAGAUUGUCAACACAAAAUCAUUUACUGGACACAACAAGAUUUCCUGUGAUGAGAAGAUGAAAACAACACAUAGCUCUGCUAAGAAAAUGAUCACUGAACACAAGGUGGAACUCAUCAACUGUCUGAAGGCGGAUCAUUCUUAUAUUCUGCAGCAUGCACAUGUCAAACAGAUCAUCACAGACACACAAUAUCAGGAUAUUAAGGAAAAGUCUCCCUCAACACCACGAGAAACUGUCACUGAUCUGAUUGAUGACGUGAUUUUUAAGAAUGGACCAGAAUCCUGGACUGCUUUUCUUGAAGUUCUCAAACUGCCUGAUGUUCUGAGCACUUAUCCACAGCCCAAAGAAAUCAUGAAUAAAAUGCUGCGCAGCAAUAGUGGAAGAAGUGCAUAAGAUGUGAUUUGUAAUGUAAAACAAACAGUUGUAGGCUAAAUGUGCGGAUUGUGGAUACGCUAAACUGCAACAAUGAUAUGAUUCAAAUGAGGCUGUUUAAGUCAUUUUGUACCUGCCAGUUUUUCUACUCAAAAUAUCAAGUCAUAUUUUUUCAAAUCAACCCUUUUCCUUCUAAAAUGCACAUAGAAGGAUCACAGCAACAGUGUUUUUAUUUGACAUAUUAUAACUAACAAUGAUUUUGUCAUGUGAAAAUUAAUGUCAGCAUAAAAUACUAAUCCUAGCUUCGAUGAAAUCACAUACUGAAGGCCUCAACUUUUAUCUGUCAUUGGGUGUCAUGUUGAUACAUUUUGACUGUAUUUUCCUGUAUUAGUAUAAACUAAGGACAUUAAGGAUGCUGCUGCACAUAAUCUACAAAAUUGGUGAUUGUUUUGUUCUUUUUUAGGGGGUUGCCAUGGUAAUGAAAUGUGCAGUUUAAGAUGCAGAUCUCUGUAACCCAGUUCCAAUCAUCCUCAUCAUCACACUAGCAUAUCUGUUGUUGUUUUUAACUUGUCUGCCUGCCUG
RNAcentral lists this long non-coding RNA (1023 nucleotides) under Sparus aurata (gilthead seabream). Its description in RNAcentral is "lncRNA (ENSSAUG00010008575.1)". The record is from RNAcentral. Lineage: Eukaryota; Metazoa; Chordata; Actinopteri; Spariformes; Sparidae.